ACUCCUACGGGAGGCAGCAGUGGGGAAUAUUGGACAAUGGGGGCAACCCUGAUCCAGCCAUGCCGCGUGAGUGAAGAAGGCCCUAGGGUCGUAAAGCUCUUUCAACUGUGAAGAUAAUGACGGUAGCAGUAGAAGAAACCGGCCAGCUACCCGUGCCAGCAGCCGCGGUAAUACGGAGGGGGUUAGCGUUGUUCGGAAUUACUGGGCGUAAAGCGCACGUAGGCGGACUAUUAAGUUAGAGGUGAAAUCCCAGGGCUCAACCCUGGAACUGCCUUUAAUACUGGUAGUCUUGAGUUCGAGAGAGGUGAGUGGAAUUCCGAGUGUAGAGGUGAAAUUCGUAGAUAUUCGGAGGAACACCAGUGGCGAAGGCGGCUCACUGGCUCGAUACUGACGCUGAGGUGCGAAAGUGUGGGGAGCAAACAGGAUUAGAUACCCUGGUAGCUACGAG
This 448-nucleotide ribosomal RNA is filed under the name uncultured bacterium. RNAcentral describes it as "bacterial SSU rRNA". It matches the Rfam family "Bacterial small subunit ribosomal RNA", at positions 335 to 801 of the family's 1533-position model. The record is from RNAcentral.